UAUGGGAUACUUUAUAUUUCAGAUGAUUGUCGAGACCUUGCUCUUGGCAUGCAGAACAGUGUCAUAGCAGCUGACAAGAUAACAGCAUCUUCAGGGACAGCAGGUGACCAGGCCAGACUAAACUACACUAAUGGACCAUCGUGGUGUGCUAUUGGAAAUGAUGAUAACCCUUAUCUACAGAUUGACUUAGGGACCCCCCACAUCAUUUGUGCUGUGUCAACACAGGGUGACCAUUUGGCGAAACAAUGGGUCAAGACUUUUCAGCUUAAUUGUUCUNAUGAUGGGAAGACUUAUCAUCCAUACAAGGAGAAUGGCAACACACAACAGACAUUUUAUGGUAAUGUGGAUAAUUCUGGAAUCUUCAAGCAGAUUCUUUAUCAAGGAAUCAUUGCAAGAUAUUUACGUAUCCUACCCAUAAUGCAACACGGAGCUGUUUGUAUGAGAGCUGAGAUAUAUGGAAUACGAAUACAAUCAACCUCUAAAGUAAACUACGCCUACGAUAAAACAGCAACACAGUCCAGUACUGGUUGGGAUGCACCGCCUGAUCGUGCAGUUGAUGGGAAUCGUAAUCCAAACUUUGAUUCUGUUAAAAGCUGCACCCACACGGAAAUGCAAGACAAUGAGCCCUGGUGGAUGGUUGAUCUUGGUCAGAGUAUACCUGUGUAUGAGGUGUUCAUUGUUAAUAGGAAAAAUCACCACGAGAGGCUGCACGACUUUCUAAUUCUUAUUGGUGGAAGUUCAAGCAAUGGUGGCAAAUCCAAUCCCGUUUGUAACAGUGUGAAGGGCCCACUGCCCUCUGGGAUUGGAACGUCUAUCUACUGCCAUCAAAGCAUGAUGGGACGGUUCUUGACUAUCACGUUUGACAAUCAUGUGGGAAUCCUCACAUUAUGUGAAGUUGAAGUUUACACUGAAGUUUAUAUGGAAUUAGCCAUUGGUAUAUCCAAUAGCAGCGCCGUACCAGACAACAGAAUGUCGGCAAGCUCUAAUUAUAGUAACACGAGGACUGCAGCCAAAGCCAGGCUCCUUGGCAAUUAUUCAUGGAGACCACGUGACGAUGAUACCAACCCAUGGUUACAAAUAGACCUUGGAGAGAUUUACUACGUGUGUGCUGUGGCUACACAAGGUGACCCGGACGGUGACGAGAGGACAAUAAAGUACAAAGUUGAAGGAUCUAUAGAUAAUCUACUAUGGAUGCCUGUAGAAAGCAAAACAUUGAAAAAGGAAAUGGUUUUUAGUGGUAACCAAAAUAAGUCAACAAGCAUCAUCAAGCAUUCCUUGCCAAGUCCUCUAGCAGCUAGAUUUGUACGGUUCUAUCCUGUAGAAAAUAUUGAAGCAUACGCCCUUAGAGUGGAAAUAUAUGGUGUUACCAAAGUAUCAGUUCCACCGAUACCACCACCGAUAGGGAACAAAGAGCUGCAUCCCAGUCUGGGUUCGCAUAUAGACUUGGUGUGCAGAGCAGAAGGAGGACUGAGCAUCAAAUGGUACCAUAACGACACAGACAUUACAAGUUAUUCUAUCGGUUCAGUAGGAACAGGAUCAAUACUCAUAUCAACACUACGUGUAAACUACACAUCAGUUGAUGAUGUUUAUGACAAAUAUUCUUGUGACGCAACGAAAAUGUACUGUACCAGUUUGGACUACAUUUGCCAAGUCGAUUAUGGUUCAUACAGAAAACUGCAGAGCAGGGGGAAAAUCUCCACAUUAUUAGUGCCCACUAGACCAAGACAUCUUAACGCCACAAUCAACCCUCAACGUGGGACCCAAAGACCAACUGUAACGUUGAAGUGGGAGAAACCAAUGAGAGCGAUAGGCAAAACAACAAGCUAUACCCUAUGUUAUAACUACGUCAUUGAUAAUAAUAGCAGUAUGAAGUCAUUGACCAUUACGGAUUUAACGGGCAUGAGCUACACGAUCGAUGUCAUUGGUGGAGCUCGUUUCGAAUUCUAUUUAAAAGCCAAGGCCAAUGGUCUUAUUGGAGAUCCCUCUCAAACGUGGACUGCAAACAUUCAGGAAUGUAAACCGUCAUCUGCUCCAGCAAAUAUCAAAGUGAUCAAGAUUGAAAAUGGAAAAUACAACGUGUCAUGGGAAGAAACACCCAGAGAGCUAAACAAUAGUAAGAUUAUUACCUACGAGAUAAAUUGGUCUUCCUUGGCUAGACGAAUGCGUCGAUCAACUGUUGCAUCACGUGCAGCUAAUGCUAGCGAGUCAACAUACACACUGGUGAACAUAAGCCUUACAGACAACAUGAAGUACAAUAUCACUGUACGAGGAUACACCAUUGCAGGUCCUGGUCCAUUUAGCGACCCUAUAGUUCUUGAAAAAGAGAUCGAGAAAGCGGAUGGACGUAAAGAGGAUGAUCAAGUACCUGAUUCAGUCAUUGUGGUUGCUGUUGUUUUCUCUUUACUUUUUGUCGUUGGGAUGAUCGUCUUUAUUUUCUGGUAUAAAAAACGUAAAGGACAAGAAGAUACCACUCAACAGGAAAACCCCGGUGGACAUUUAAGAAUGCGUAGCACAGGUGGCGUAGCGGUGAGACCGCUCGCCUCUCACCAAUGCGACCCGGAUGAGUAUAAUCAAAAUGAAAAUCAGAAUGAGGGAAACAUAGAAAUGGUAGAAGUAGAGGGCGAUGCCAUUUAUGAGAAUAAGACAGAAAAAAUCAGUAUCCGCCAGUUUCCAGACUUUAUGAACAGAGUUAGAAGGAAUGAACAUGAACUACUGAUGCACCAAUUCAAGAUAUUACCACAAGGUCGCCUGUACCCUUGCACUGUUGCCAUGAAACCGAUCAACAAAUCGAAAAAUCGCUAUGGCAAUAUCAUCCCAUACAAUAACUCGAGAGUUGUUCUUGAAAAGCUGGAGGGAGACGAAGAUUCAGAUUACAUCAAUGCAAGCUACAUAUGGGGAUAUGACUGUAAGCAGAUAUCCUACAUUGCAACUCAAGGUCCUCUCCCUCAAACUGUUAAUGAUUUUUGGCGAAUGAUUUGGCAAGAAAAAAUGUCGGUGAUUGUCAUGUUAACAGGCAUCAAAGAACAAAAUAAGAUAAAAUGCGAAAAGUAUUGGCCAGAAAAUAGUAAGACGUACCAGGAUCUAUCUGUACAUCUACACAAGACUGAAGUAUUUGCUGACUACUCCAUUCGUACUUUUGUUGUAUCCAAGAUGAAGACAAGAGAACAGCGCUAUGUCUUUCAAUAUCAUUUCACUGCCUGGACUGAUAAAGGUGUUCCUCAACAUGCAACACAAUUAUUGGCCUUCAGAAGACGUCUUGAGUCAGACACAGCCAUGGGGUCUCCUUGGGUUGUUCACUCCAGUACUGGUGUUGGAAGAACAGGAGCUUUUCUUGCCAUCGACGCCAUGAUAAGACAAGCGAGAGAUUACAAAACGAUUGAUGUUUUCAACUUUGUUAAAACAAUGAGACAAAACAGACAAAACAUGGUGCAGACCAAGGAGCAGUACUUGUUUAUACACAUGGCGAUUCUCGAGCAUCUCACAUGUAGGAUCACAGAGGUACAAGCACAGCAACUGGGGAAGACGAUCAAGAAACUGACUAUAUACGAUCGUAAAGAGAAAAUCACGGGAUUUGAAAAGGAAUUCAAGCAUCUUUCAGCCCUUUGUCCUGAUGUCCCCAAAGACGAGAUGAAAAUUGGAAGCAAAGCUUGUAACAGCAAGAAAAACAGGUUUCAGCACAUCCUGCCUUUGGAUAAAGCUAGAGUUAUUCUACAAGCUGACCCGGAUAAAGGGGGAAAUGACUACAUCAACGCCUCAUAUGCCAACGGCUACAGACAAAAGGACGCGUACAUUUUGACCCAGGCUCCUCUCGACACCACCAUCGCUGAUUUCUGGAAAAUGAUCUAUGACAACAAACUGGGAACCAUCGUUAUGCUGAAUGAGAAUAAAGAGGAAAAAAUGGUUAAGGGAUUUUCUUUGCAUUGCUUGGUAUAAUUAUUUGAAUGAAUCCCGUUUCAAGCCUAUCCCGACCCAUGCUUACCUUGAUCAUAUAAGUUACCCUUCAUACUGGCCUGAAAAGGGAUCAUUGGAGUUUGGGAACAUCCCAGUUGAAAUCAUCCAAAAAGAAACUGAGAAAUCCAUAGUAUCACGAGUGUUUACACUGACUCACAAAUC
RNAcentral lists this unclassified non-coding RNA (4113 nucleotides) under Actinia tenebrosa (Australian red waratah sea anemone). Its description in RNAcentral is "receptor-type tyrosine-protein phosphatase S-like, transcript variant X5". The record is from RNAcentral. Lineage: Eukaryota; Metazoa; Cnidaria; Anthozoa; Actiniaria; Actiniidae.